RNAcentral lists this long non-coding RNA (204 nucleotides) under Mytilus galloprovincialis (Mediterranean mussel). Lineage: Eukaryota; Metazoa; Mollusca; Bivalvia; Mytilida; Mytilidae. The record is from RNAcentral.
CUGGCCACGUUAUUACUGGUUACCUGCACAUUGUCAAUAACACUCCCCUGUGAAAUGUGUUAUCCAAAAGUUCGAAAUAUCGUGAGCCUAAAUCCAUCAAUUGGAAAUACAACUUCAUAUACUGUUGGAUUCAGUCGAGGAUUAUGCCAGGCAAUGGGCUAAGUGCGUAAAAGAAAACGUAGAUUCUCUUUCCGAAUUUCCGAA